UACGUAGGUGGCAAGCGUUGUCCGGAAUUAUUGGGCGUAAAGCGCGCGCAGGUGGUUCCUUAAGUCUGAUGUGAAAGCCCACGGCUCAACCGUGGAGGGUCAUUGGAAACUGGGGAACUUGAGUGCAGAAGAGGAAAGCGGAAUUCCACGUGUAGCGGUGAAAUGCGUAGAGAUGUGGAGGAACACCAGUGGCGAAGGCGGCUUUCUGGUCUGUAACUGACGCUGAGGCGCGAAAGCGUGGGGAGCAAACAGG
This 253-nucleotide ribosomal RNA is filed under the name uncultured bacterium. RNAcentral describes it as "partial 16S ribosomal RNA". It matches the Rfam family "Bacterial small subunit ribosomal RNA", at positions 524 to 776 of the family's 1533-position model. The record is from RNAcentral.